This 490-nucleotide ribosomal RNA is filed under the name uncultured bacterium. Its description in RNAcentral is "partial 16S ribosomal RNA". It matches the Rfam family "Bacterial small subunit ribosomal RNA", at positions 30 to 507 of the family's 1533-position model. The record is from RNAcentral.
AUUGAACGCUGGCGGCAGGCCUAACACAUGCAAGUCGAACGGUAACAGGAAGAAUCUUGCUUCUUUGCUGACGAGUGGCGGACGGGUGAGUAAUGUCUGGGAAACUGCCUGAUGGAGGGGGAUAACUACUGGAAACGGUAGCUAAUACCGCAUAACUUCGCAAGACCAAAGAGGGGGACCUUCGGGCCUCUUGCCAUCGGAUGUGCCCAGAUGGGAUUAGCUAGUAGGUGGGGUAACGGCUCACCUAGGCGACGAUCCCUAGCUGGUCUGAGAGGAUGACCAGCAACACUGGAACUGAGACACGGUCCAGACUCCUACGGGAGGCAGAGGUGGGGAAUAUUGAACAAUGGGAGCAAGCCUGAUGAAGCCAUGCCGCGUGUAUGAAGAAGGCCUUCGGGUUGUAAAGUACUUUAAGCGGGGAGGAAGGGAGUAAAGUUAAUACCUUGGCUCAUUGACGUUACCCGCAGAAGAAGCACCGGCUAACUCCGUG